This 856-nucleotide ribosomal RNA is filed under the name bacterium 7Q. RNAcentral describes it as "bacterial SSU rRNA". It matches the Rfam family "Bacterial small subunit ribosomal RNA", at positions 29 to 899 of the family's 1533-position model. The record is from RNAcentral.
UUUUUUGCCGAGUCGCAGCCUACUACAUGCAGGUCGAACGAGUUCGCAAGGACAGUGGCAAACGGGUGCGUAACGCGUAAGCAACCUGCCUCAUACUGGGGGAUAGCCCGGCGAAAGCUGGGGUAAACCCGCACGGUCCGAUUAAGUCACCUGGCUUGAUGGGUAAACAUUUAUGGGUAUGAGAGGGGCUUGCGUCUGAUUAAUUAGUUGGCAGGGUAACGGCCUACCAAGACGAUGAUCAGUAGGGGUUCUGAAAGGAUUGGCCCCCACAUGGGUACUGAGAUACGGACCCAACUCCUACGGGAGGCAGCAGUAGGGAAUAUUGGGCAAUGGAGGCAACUCUGACCCAGCCAUGCCGCGUGCAGGAUGAAGGCGCUCAGCGUUGUAAACUGCUUUUAUUGGUGAAGAACUAUGGUCCUGCGGGAUUAUUUGACGGUAGCCAAGGAAUAAGCACCGGCUAACUCCGUGCCAGCAACCGCGGUAAUACAGAGGGUGCAAGCGUUGUCCGGAUUUAUUGGGUUUAAAGGGUGCGUAGGUGGAACUGUAAGUCUGAUUUGAAAGCAAGCGGCUUAACCGUUUGAUGUGGUUGGAAACUGUGGUUCUUGAAUGGGUUGGCGGUAGCCGGAAUGGAUCAUGUAGCGGUGAAAUGCAUAGAUAUGACCCGGAACACCGAUUGCGAAGGCAGGCUACUACGACUUGAUUGACACUGAGGCACGAGAGCAUGGGUAGCGAACAGGAUUAGAUACCCUGGUAGUCCAUGCCGUAAACGAUGAUUACUGGCUGUUUGUGUUCUAACAUGUGUGGGUGAGCGAAAGCGUUAAGUAAUCCACUGGGGAAUACGCUGGCAACAGUGGAA